GAGACAGCAGUAGCCGCGGGAAUACGAAGGGGGCUAGCGUUGUUCGGAAUUACUGGGCGUAAAGCGCACGUAGGCGGACAUUUAAGUCAGGGGUGAAAUCCCGGGGCUCAACCCCGGAACUGCCUUUGAUACUGGGUGUCUAGAGUAUGGAAGAGGUGAGUGGAAUUCCUAGUGUAGAGGUGAAAUUCGUAGAUAUUCGGAAGAACACCAGUGGCGAAGGCGGCUCACUGGACGACUGUUGACGCUGAGGUGCGAAAGCGUGGGGAGCAAACAGGAUUAGAUACCCCAGUAGUCCCUGUCUCUUAUAC
This 308-nucleotide ribosomal RNA is filed under the name uncultured bacterium. Its description in RNAcentral is "partial 16S ribosomal RNA". It matches the Rfam family "Bacterial small subunit ribosomal RNA", at positions 505 to 807 of the family's 1533-position model. The record is from RNAcentral.